AUGUAGGUCAGCCACACCCAGACAGAGGACGACAAGCACACAACAGGAAGGGAGUAGGGGGGAAACUGGAGAAACAAGGGGAAAUAGACAAAGUAGGCCAACUGCAGAUUCUAACCAAAAGUCCUCAAUUCAAAAUGUUCCUUCAGUAAAAGUAGGCCUAUCCACCAGAGGUCUCUGCUGAGUCUCUGCAGCCGCCUGCAAUCAUCCAGCCUGAGGGAUUGGCCCAAAUAAAAGCUUAUGGUGCCUCCAGUGGUGGAAAGUAAAGUAGGCAGCAUUUACUCAAGUACUGUACUUAAGCACAGUUUUGAGGUACUUGUUCUUGUACCAUCUUAAGUUUUUCUGCUACUUUUAUACAUCUACUCCACUACAUCUUUAAGAUUGAAGGCCCCACAGACUCUCUCAAGUGUUUUCAGUCAUGUGGUUGAUUAGACCAAUCAGGUUGAAGCUCUGCUGGGAUUUAUGUGAGGUCAUCAUGUACUUAUGUCUCCGCAGGAAUUGAAAAAAUGUGUCCAUGCAUUUAUCUUUAGUAGACUCGGCUACUGUAACGGUGUCUGUGAAGAGCCUGUGAAUUCCUGGAAAAAAUGUUGAACAUGAUAAUAACUUGGGUGUUAUUCUAUAAAUGAUUUUAUU
Molecule: long non-coding RNA, 630 nt
Organism: Perca flavescens (yellow perch)
Lineage: Eukaryota; Metazoa; Chordata; Actinopteri; Perciformes; Percidae
Exons: 3
Source: RefSeq, a predicted model, not a curated record